UACGUAGGGGGCUAGCGUUGUCCGGAUUUAUUGGGCGUAAAGAGCUCGUAGGCGGUUUGUCGCGUCUGCUGUGAAAACCCGAGGCUCAACCUCGGGCCUGCAGUGGGUACGGGCAGACUAGAGUGCGGUAGGGGAGAUUGGAAUUCCUGGUGUAGCGGUGGAAUGCGCAGAUAUCAGGAGGAACACCGAUGGCGAAGGCAGAUCUCUGGGCCGAUACUGACGCUGAGGAGCGAAAGCGUGGGGAGCGAACAGG
Molecule: ribosomal RNA, 253 nt
Filed under: uncultured bacterium
Lineage: Bacteria
Description: partial 16S ribosomal RNA
Rfam family: Bacterial small subunit ribosomal RNA
Source: RNAcentral